Leptonychotes weddellii (Weddell seal) is the source of this 3293-nucleotide non-coding RNA. The record is from RefSeq and is a predicted model, not a curated record. Lineage: Eukaryota; Metazoa; Chordata; Mammalia; Carnivora; Phocidae.
AAGCCCCACGUUGGGCUCCACACUGGGUGUGGAGUCUACUUAAAAUAAAAUUAAAUAGAUAAAUAGCUAUAGGGUUAAUGAUGCUGAUUUGGAGCAACAUGGAUUUGCUUUCUGGUUGGGGUUGGCUGUUUGUUAUGCAGAAGAGAAGUGUAGGUGUCUGUGGUGUACUUAAUCCUAAGGCAACGGAGCGCUCCCUCCACGUAGCUCAGUGGGAAGGACAGCCACUCUUGUGUUUUCCUGCUGUAACUUGUGUAUCUGGUAGGAAUAGGCUGGAUUUUAGCCUCAUUCUUCCCCCAGGUAUGGUGGGGGCUCACACUUUCCCUCCUGGCAUCAUAAAGUUGCCCUUCUUGUUUACUCUGUUUUUCUCACAAAGCACCCACUGCGUGGUCAUGGAGCUCUCAUUUCUUUCCCCUUAGCACAAAAAAAUGAGAGAUGGAAGGAAUGCAACAUGGUAGAUGAUUAGGGGCAAUUCUUAUUUGACCCAGAACAGAUGUUACCAUCCGGGGGGGUGGGGAGCAGAACAUCCCCUGACCCAGCUGCCUGUGCCCACCCUCACAAUGCCCACCCGAUCAAUUCUGCUGACCACGCUUUCUGUAACCAGGAAGGAAUGGAGCUGCUCAGCUGCAAAGGCAAAUCUGUCACCAUAGUUCACCUUCUCCAGCUGGGCCCCUCCAAGGCACAGUGAUUAGCCUAAGUGCUCACGAGACAACCGAGGGUGCGGCCAGCGCUUUGUUGGAGGCAAACACAUUGCCACCAGUUUCCUAGGCCUUUGGGGCCAGGGUGAGCCAAGAUAGGCAGAAACUGAAGACGCAUGCCUCUUCAUUUCCCUUGUCACCUGUUAGUCAGAAUUUGUGCUGUUUGUUCAGCAAACUGUGCAGAACUUGCUCUGUUCAGAGACAUAAACCAAAUAUAUGGCAUGAUUUCAAUAGGAAAUUUUGAGAUUUUUUUUUCAAAACUAAUUAUUCACUGAUGCUUUGGUGUGUACUUAUGUGAGAGAGCCAGCAUGUGUUUUGCAUAUUUUGGUAGAAUUUUUAUAUCUUAAAGGACAUAGAAUAUGAGAAACUAGUCUAGCCAAAAAAAAAAAAGAAAAACCAAAACCUGUUUCUUAUUUUCUUAUUAGCACCCAUUUAACAGCUGGGAGCUGGGUACACCCCCAGUUUUGCAUGCCCCAGAUGGGGAGUCAGCAAGCGACCAGAGGGCCUUCAAGUGAUUUCUGUUUUUUUCUCUUUCAGCCAAUCUCCCCAGCAGGCCACAGGCAAUGUGAAGUAUCCAUCAAGCCAACCAACAUUUCCUGACUUCCAGUAUUGCCCUUUUCAGCAAAUGCCAAUUCCAAGUUCCAUUUAAUUAGAAGCUCCAUGGCUCUUUGAAACAUGCUGUUGAGCGCUGACUGUGUGUUCUACUGAAGGAGUAAACACUGACUAUCCAAAGAGAAAAGGAUAUUUUGUUUUUAUAAUAAUCAUAUAUUAUUGUUUAUUGUCUUCUUCUUCCCUUUCUAUGCAACUGUAAAUUAAUGAACAGAGUGGUAUUUGGAAACGGUAAUACAUUUGUCACUGAUUUGUAUACUGUAUACAGCAUUGGGAAAGUGGGUGGGGGCUUUCUAAUAUGAUACCGUCUUUUUAAUAACCAUGACAAAAAUCACGUAAGAAUUAGAAAACAAUGUUACAUUUUUACAUUCCUUCAUAUUAACCUUGUACUAUAACUUCAUUUAUUUUUUCCACUCUUUUACCAUUAUGUUUUGGUUAUUUAUAAUUCAUCAGCCCCAUGACCAAAUAGAUGUCCUUGUAUUUGUUUCCAUGAUUUGGCCAAAUUAUUAAGUUCAUGUAUUUCAGUCAAAUAUUUAUGUAUAUGAAUUGGGCUAUAUCUCUGUGUAUACUGCUUAACUUUAUUUGACAUCAUGCACUUCAGUUCUUUAGUGGCCACUUGGAUAAGCACAGUAAAAGUCCUGCGGGGCCUACCUGACAUUCCCAUUAGGAUUUCUUUCCUGCAUUUAUUUCCCUGCUCUACGUAAGUAGGUCUUGAUUUCUUUAUUUCAUGUCCCAAUCUAUAUGAUAGAGGAGACUCAAAGCCGAUUAUAAUCAUCUCAAAGAUCAUUUCACCAAAGGUUACCCAUUUAAGUCUAGUUUCAUUUUGACAUAGAAACAAAACGUGGGAUAAUGUUUCCUUGGUUGCAAAGUCUUGAUUUUCAUCAUUAAAUACACAGCAGGCCUUUACUUAAUUGUGCUACCAGGACACAUCUUUGUCUUUAAUUCCCUUGAGGAGAAUUUUAUUUUUGUUUAUGUAUACGCAAGCCAUUUGUAAUUCUUGAAAUUCCCAGUCGUUUUCUUUCUGACGGCAGACACAAAUUUAAUGCAUGUUUCAUGUUACCUUUUGGGUGAAGGAUUACAUUUUUUAUUACUUUUCAUUUGAUCAGUAUAUUUGGAAAGGAUGUUUAUCAAAAGCCUAUAUCACUGUUUCCAGAGAGGAAUGAAAUUAAUACUUAGAUGGUGGAACCCCUGCCUGUACCUUUGAGUACAUUCAGUUGGAUGUUUGCUUCAGCUUCUGAUUUAACAUUUAAUUGAUUCAGUUGAAACAUGUUACAUAAUCACCAAAUGUAGAGAAAACCAAAAAAAAAAAAAAAGUGAAAAUAAUGUGUUUUGAUUCAAGCAUACAUGCAUUUAAAACAUCAGGACACUUUAACUUUGGGUUCUCUUGACCUGGGAUUUGGCCAGAAGGAGGCUUAAAGUUAGAAAUUGCUAUUCUUUUAGAAUAGGUUGGGUGGGUUGGGGGGCAAGGGUGUCUAUUUGCAGCAUAGAUAUUUUGAGAAGAAAAUUGUUUUAUAUAAGAGGAAAGCCAUGACCACCUUUCUACCUCAGAUCCAUCUUCAUCCAUUGUGUUGGAAAUAGCUUUAUGCCGCUGCAGUCUGCAAGAUCUAGAGCUUUUAUCGGGCCACAUCAAACCCAAGAAAAGCACCUAUUUAAAGAAAAAAAAAAAAACUUUCCCUGAACUCUGAACUACAAGUUGUAGAUUUGGUGUCUUCCUUGUUCUUACUUUGAAAAAAAUAUGUAUUCAUUUUUUUUCUGCUUGUAGUUGUGUGCAACAAGUCUUCUCUCUGCUAUUAAGGAAAAGCUACAGAAAACACUACAUUGUAACCUUCUAAGUAAUAAUAAAUAAAAAAAAUAUAUCACAGUAACAACAAGGGGAAAUAAGUAUGUAGUUCUUUUGAAAUAUGUGGUAAAGAACUAAUCAUAGACUAUCAUCUACUCUGGUUACAUGUUGUAUUUUUCAUCCUGAAUAAAAGUAAUUUUAACACAAGA